Molecule: ribosomal RNA, 497 nt
Filed under: uncultured bacterium
Lineage: Bacteria
Description: partial 16S ribosomal RNA
Rfam family: Bacterial small subunit ribosomal RNA
Source: RNAcentral
GAUGAACGCUGGCGGCGUGCCUAAUACAUGCAAGUCGAGCGAACGGACGAGAAGCUUGCUUCUCUGAUGUUAGCGGCGGACGGGUGAGUAACACGUGGAUAACCUACCUAUAAGACUGGGAUAACUUCGGGAAACCGGAGCUAAUACCGGAUAAUAUUUUGAACCGCAUGGUUCAAAAGUGAAAGACGGUCUUGCUGUCACUUAUCGAUGGAUCCGCGCUGCGUUAGCUAGUUGGUAAGGUAACGGCUUACCAAGGCAACGAUGCAUAGCCGACCUGUGAGGGUGGUCGGCCACACUGGAACUGAGACACGGUCCAGACUCCUGCGGGAGGCAGCAGUAGGGAAUCUUCCGCAAUGGGCGAAAGCCUGACGGAGCAACGCCGCGUGAGUGAUGAAGGUCUUCGGAUCGUAAAACUCUGUUAUUAGGUAAGAACAUAUGUGUAAGUAACUGUGCACAGCUUGACGGUACCUAAUCAGAAAGCCACGGCUAACUACGUG